Molecule: long non-coding RNA, 5093 nt
Organism: Vidua macroura (Pin-tailed whydah)
Lineage: Eukaryota; Metazoa; Chordata; Aves; Passeriformes; Viduidae
Exons: 3
Source: RefSeq, a predicted model, not a curated record
AAAUUGGGAAUGAGUUUUUCCAGUGCAGCUGGGCCACUUCUCCUGAGUUACCACGAGAGGGACACAGAAGGAAAGCAAAAGGAGCUGGGAAAGAAAGAAUCCAAGGACCAGCUCGAGCAAUUUGUGAUAAUUCUGAUUAAUUCUGCUUUACCUGCAGAUUUAAUUUGGGAUAAAUAUUCCCAGAACAAGUCACGGGGAUGUAACUCCAUGAAGGAAAAGGAGGAGAAGAAUUUUGGCCAAAAUCCAGGGAUUUUGAAUGAAGAAAGUUCUCAGAAAUUAAGGAUGGAUGAGGGCAGAGCAGAAGUCCUGGAAUGGAUGUAGACAAGACAUUCCAGUUCUAGGCCACCCUUCCUGGCUCCAGAUGAGAGCAUGGCUUUGCUGGAAGAGGGGAUUGCAAAAGGGGAUGUGAGGGAGGUCUGGAGAGCAAUAAUUUUAAACAGCACUUCAGCCAUGAUGUCAUUUCAGCUGAAAAAUAAUGUUCAAGCUUGGGCAAGCAGAGCCUGGGGCCAGCAGCCAGGGUGGGGAGGAACUGCAGCAAAAUGGAAAGUCCAAAGCGUGGAAGGUCAUGGUGGAAAACCAGAUCAGAAUAACCCUGAAACAAGGUGGAUAAAAACCCUGGAAUUUUCUAUGAGCAUGAAGAUUCCAAGGAAAUGGAGGGGAGGAAGAUGUUCAAACCCUGGACAGGGGUUUCACUCCUCUGUCUGGAAGUCAGAAGCCAAAUCCUGGAGCAUAGGAACAGCCUGAAGGAUUGUUGUUACCCCAGACUGUGAUCCCAGAGUGAUCCCGAGCUCUUCUGCUGGGAUUUAACCCAAAUCCAGCCCAAAUCUGCAUCCACCUCCUUGCCUGAGGAGGCCAAAAGGCUGAAACAACCAAGGGAUGUUGUUCCAUUAUGGUUUGGACAUCAAAAAUGCCAUCUAAAAACUGCUUUGUGGGGUUUCUCCCUCACGGGCUGAAAGGGAGGCUCACCCUCAGGCCAGGCUGUAGGAUCAGCCCUUUCCAUGGGGUUUUAAAUGAAUUCCCACUAAUCCAGCCAUAGAAAGCUGAGGCUUGGUCAGCCUUGGAUAAAGCCUCGCACAUUUUGUCCUUUUUUCGUUCCCUGUUCCACCACAAACCUCAGCUGGGGAGGAAAAAACCCAACAAAGCAAGCAGAGGAAGGGGCACCUGCAGCUGGAAAUGACAAAAAGCUCCUGUUUUAGCAGGAGAUUUAGGACUUGGAGCUCCCCAGGAACAACUUCUCUUCCCGCUGUGCUGGGAGCCAGGAAUGAGCUCAGGCUGUGAGAUCAGAUUUUGCUGAGUCUACAGGGUUAGCCUUGUUCUUUCCUCUUAUCCAGAAGUUCUCCUCUCCAAGCCAUGCCUGGAUAUUUGAUUUCCUUGGGAAAUCUCGGCCCUCUCAGCAGCUUUUGCUGCCUUUUGUGUCCGGGACGCUCAACUCUGCCAGCAGAAAAAGUUGCUUUUGUCAUUCCCGUUUCUCCACCUGAGGCGUGGGGUUCCUGGAAUCCCGUGAGCUUUUCCUGGAAGAAGUGGUGCAGGAAUGGCUUGUGCAGAAAGCACUCCAAGGCUGCAGAGAUGUCCAGGAGGCAGCUGGAAUUUAGGGAGAGCUCUUGGAAUUCUCUCUCCUGGUGGGUAUUUCUCUGGCUGUUGAUGAGCACCCAACGUGCUCUGGCUCGAGGGGAAGUUCAGGGAAGAGCCUGGCCCUGUGCUGGCCAAAAGGAAUUGGAAUUUUAUGGAGGGAACACUGCAAAAAUGCAGAGGAUUGACGUGGUCUCCAUCUGGAAUUCAAAUUAAAGGGAUUUGGGACCAUCACAGUCAGGCCAAACCUGUGCCCUCGCGGUUUUUGGGUAGGAAGAGCAGUUCAGAUGAAGCAAGGGCUGACUCUGGAUCUCUCCACAGCCCAUAAACCUGAAAAUUAUUAUGGAAAAAGGGCAGGUUUGCCCUUGAGGCUGUUUUUCAGCUCUGGGUGGGGUCGGGAGAAGGCAUUGCCAGCACUCUCCAGAGCCAGGUCAUUCCUGGGAGAUUUCUGGGGCUGAGAUUUUCUGGAAAACUCCAGAGGUUUGGGUCAGUCUCCAUCCUCCUUCUUUUCUGGAGAGCUUCCCAUCCCUUGUGAGCCUGCACACGCCGUUUUUCCAUUUCUCUGGAAGUGACCAAAAACCCCAAAACAACCCCAGAGCCUGGAUGAUGCUGAAUUUUCCUCUGAGCUCAUCGAGGAUGUCCAAAGCAGCACCAUUUGCAGAUGGGGCCAAGAAUCUGUAAUGUCUCAAAGCUGAGCAAAAUAAAACGUGUGUGAGAGAAGAGAUGGGUGAUAAGGGGAGCUGAGGGGGUGGGAGCCAGGAAAAAGAUGGAUUUGGGAGCCCAGUGCUUGUCCCAAAAGCCAUGAGGGGGUGAAAUGAGCAUUUCCACGAGUGCAGCUGUUUGUUUGAGCCUCUUUAAUGAAUUAUUUUGACUUACAUUUGUUAAUUACCUUCAGGAAGGAGCUGCAGCUCCAGACUGAGAAGAUUCUCCUGCAUGGAAGCGUUUCCCACUGUUCCCCAACUGCUGCAGGUUUUUAUUUCUGGAAUUUCCUCUCUUUCUUAUUUGGAAAUUCCAUCUUUUUAUUGGAGGAAAUCUCUCUUUGGAGAGAGGGUGAGGAAUCCUGAGGGUGUCCCUGUCCUUGCCCAUGCCCAGAGCAUCUCUGUGCAUUCAUCCUGCUCACAGCCAGCAUUAUCCUUGCUGGAGAACCUCUGGAAUGCCUCAGGAAAUCCCUGGGAAGGGGGCACAGGGUGAGGAACUCACACACCAGGGGCUGUCCUGGGGUUGUCCCUCUCUGCUCAGCCCCCAGGAGCUGGGGUCCUCCCGUGCUUGGGAUUUUGGGAGCAGUUCCCAAAGGAAUUUAAAGCAGUUUUUGAGGAAGAAAACUUCCUUCUGGUGUGCUGGGGGUGAAAUAUCAGCUGAAAGGGGGACAGGCAAAAAGGAUCUAGAGAAAGCUCUGCUCCACCACCCCCACAAGAGGAAGAAUUUGAUAAUAAAUCCAUUUUUUUGUUCAAGAUUCUCAUUUUGCCAAAGGACAACGAGACCACUUCAAAGAACAACGUGGAGAAUUUGCUGGUGCUUCCUCUACCCCUCUUUUCUUUGUGUCCUUCACAAAUCUCCCCCUUCCACAGCAAAAAACCCCAUCUGUCCUGGAGAGUUCUCAUUGUAAUUCAGAGAGGUUUUCUCCCCCAUUUUCCUAUAUAAGAAAAAGCCCUUUUUCUUCACACAAGUGUUAAAUGACUCCUAUUAAAACCGAAUUUAAGUGAAUUUAAGUGAAUUUAAUCUUUUCCUGAGACAAGGCAGAGAAUAUUACAUUCAAUAAUCAAUUUAUUUCCCCCCUUUUCUCUGUCCCACUCAGUAUUUCCAGUUGGGAGAAAGGGAAUUAACACACAGUGAUCGAUCCUUUCUUCCUCUCCUUACAACUGAAAUCUCAUUUCCAGCAGGGAAAAGGUUUCUGUCUCCUGCCAAGAGCUGGCUGCAAAAUCAUUUGUACAGAGCACCUCUGAUCACUGGUGUCCUGAAAAGACCUGAUUGCUGGGUUUGCCUUUUUCCAGCUGUUAAAUUAUCCCAGAUAUCUUCCUGCUGGAUUUGUUGAGGGUUUUUUUAAUGGAAAAAGGGAAAAUUUGGAGGGGAAACCCAGCCCCUGUUGCAGUCAGUGAGAGGAAGAGGCAAGAGAAGUGGCAUUAAUUUGGAAUUAAUUAAUUAGAAGUUGGUUUUUGCUGUGUGUUCAGGAGAUUUGGGCAGGUUUCCUUAAGAAAAGCCCUGGCAUGGAAAAUCUCUGGAGUUCCCUUGGGAUGCCCACGGAAAGGGCAGCUCUGGGGGCAGCGUGGCCACAACUCCUGGGAAAUUCCCAGCUCCCCACUUCUCAUCCCCAUUUUCCCUGGGGGCUGUGCCCAGCUCCAUCUCCAGGGGAUCCAUUCCUCAGCUCCCUGGGAAAAACAAGAUUUUCUCUGGAGUUCCAACCCAAAUAUUUCCCUUUCCCCCUGGAUUUGGCUGUGCUCCCUGUCCCUGUUUUUAGGGGUGAAUGUUGUCAGGUUCCUUGGGAUCCUCCCUGUGGAAAGGAGAGAUGGAAGCUCUGUCCUGGAUGCCCCCAGCUGUGCAGCAACCUGAGGACACCAGAUCCUCAUCCGAGCCACCCUUGGGGUCACAGAAAUGCCACUUUCCCUACACAAAAUGCGAAUUUUUGCGCAGCUCCAGCAGCGAGGAGAUCCCCAGGAUCCCUGAGCUCCAGGGCUCUGCCUGUCCAGGGCUCAGUGCCAGAUGUUCCUUUGGAGUUAAUAAUUCUUGGGACGCGUUCAAAGCCAGCUCAAUGCUCCCAAAGAGAGGUCCCAAAGCUAUUAAAGCGUGGACGUGCUGUCUGCCCACCUCCACCGUGAUCUCAGAGCCCUGAGCACUUCCAGUCCUGCCUGCGAGGAGCCAAUUCCUGUUUACUCCUGCCUGGAGACCCCUGGCUUCCAAAAUUCAGGAGCUUUGACCACAGAGAUCAAUGGGAUGCAUCAUUUAGGGGAAAAGGAAAAGCCAGGCUGCUUCGAAGAGCUUUUGUUUUUAAGCUCUGCCAUCCCAGGGAGUUUUGGGAACGCGGAGCAGUAAAUCUGUGUUAUUGUCAUUAUGAGUCUGGGAAGUGUUUUUCAGGAGAAAAUCCCAAAAAAAGAAAGGGAGAUCACAGCCAAAGGACUUUUAGUGGGAAAAGCUGAAGACUCUGGGCAUUAAAGUCCCAACAAUUCCCAGCAAGCAGCGAUGGCUUCGCUCUCUCAUCGCUUUGCACCUCUCUCAGACAAAACAUCCCUCAGCCUUCCCCGAUUUUCCAGUACAAUUCCAGUUAAUUAUUCCCGGUUUCCUCGGCGUGUCUGAGCUCCCGCUGGCUGCUGGAGGAAGAGGAGCUCAUUGUUACCAAUGAGCCUAAUCCAGAGCUCGAAAUCUUUUAUUAUCCCUGCUAGAAAACACCAUGAAUAGCGAAGGAAAAAAUGCGAGGCCGUUUCCUGCGGGGUUUUCAGCGCCCUCCGGGGGCUGGGAUUGCGCCAUGGAUGGUGCUGGGUGGCUCUGGCUCAUUCCCACAUUCCCACAUUCCCACAUUCCCACAUUCCCAC